UUUUUAAUUGAGAUCUUGUAUGAAUGAUUGGACAAAAGAAAUUCUGUCUUUGCACUAGAGUUUGAAUUUAACUUUUAAGUGAAAAGGCUUAAAUAUUCUAAGGGGACGAUAAGACCCUAUAAAACUUUUAUAUUAAAUUAAAUUUUAUUGAAAUUUUUAUAAUAAUUAAAUUUAGUUUUUUUAUUUUAUUGGGGUGAUAAGAGUAUAGAUUAUAUUAACUGCUUUUAAUAUAAAACAAUAAUAAAUGAGUAAUUUAUUGAUCCUUUAUUAAGAUUAAGAGAUUAAGUUACUUUAGGGAUAACAGA
This 305-nucleotide ribosomal RNA is filed under the name Erimetopus brazzae. RNAcentral's name for it is "partial 16S ribosomal RNA". Lineage: Eukaryota; Metazoa; Arthropoda; Malacostraca; Decapoda; Potamonautidae. The record is from RNAcentral.